Molecule: ribosomal RNA, 467 nt
Filed under: uncultured Geobacillus sp.
Lineage: Bacteria; Bacillati; Bacillota; Bacilli; Caryophanales; Anoxybacillaceae
Description: bacterial SSU rRNA
Rfam family: Bacterial small subunit ribosomal RNA
Source: RNAcentral
GACGGGGCCGCACAAGCGGUGGAGCAUGUGGUUAAUUCGAAGCAACGCGAAGAACCUUACCAGGUCUUGACAUCCCUGACAACCAAGAGAUUGGGCGUUCCCCUUCGGGGGACAGGGUGACAGGUGGUGCAUGGUUGUCGUCAGCUCGUGUCGUGAGAUGUUGGGUUAAAGUCCCCGCAACGAGCGCAACCCUCGCCUCUAGUUGCCAGCAUUCGGUUGGGCACUCUAGAGGGACUGCCGGCGACAAGUCGGAGGAAGGUGGGAUGACGUCAAAUCAUCAUGCCCCUUAUGACCUGGGCUACACACGUGCUACAAUGGGCGGUACAAAGGGCUGCGAACCCGCGAGGGGGAGCGAAUCCCAAAAAGCCGCUCUCAGUUCGGAUUGCAGGCUGCAACUCGCCUGCAUGAAGCCGGAAUCGCUAGUAAUCGCGGAUCAGCAUGCCGCGGUGAAUACGUUCCCGGGCCUU